GAUGAACGCUGGCGGCGUGCUUAACACAUGCAAGUCGAACGGUGAACCCGUAGCUUGCUGUGUUGGAGGAGUGGCGAACGGGUGAGUAACACGUGAGCAACCUGCCCCUGACUUUGGGAUAAGCUCUGGAAACGGCGCCUAAUACAGUAUAUGAUACGUCAUCGCAUGGUCUGCGUCUGAAAAUCGGUUCGGUUGGGGAUGGACUCGCGGCUUAUCAGCUUGUUGGUGGGGUAGUGGCUCACCAAGGCGUCGACGGGUAGCCGGCCUGAGAGGGUGACCGGCCACACGGGGACUGAGAGACGGACCAGACUCCUACGGGAGGCAGCAGUGGGGAAUAUUGCACAAUGGGCGCAAGCCUGAUGCAGCAACGCCGCGUGAGGGAUGACGGCCUUCGGGUUGUAAACCGCUUUUGGCUGGGACGAAGCGAAAGUGACGGUACCUGCAGAAAAAGCGCCGGCUAACUACGUG
RNAcentral lists this ribosomal RNA (468 nucleotides) under uncultured bacterium. RNAcentral describes it as "partial 16S ribosomal RNA". It matches the Rfam family "Bacterial small subunit ribosomal RNA", at positions 28 to 507 of the family's 1533-position model. The record is from RNAcentral.